GGGCCCGCACAAGCGGUGGAGUAUGUGGUUUAAUUCGAUGCAACGCGAAGAACCUUACCAGGGUUUGACAUCCUGCGAAUCUCUUGGAAACGAGAGAGUGCCUUCGGGAACGCAGUGACAGGUGGUGCAUGGCUGUCGUCAGCUCGUGUCGUGAGAUGUUGGGUUAAGUCCCGCAACGAGCGCAACCCACGUCUUUAGUUGCCAGCAUUUAGUUGGGCACUCUAGAGAGACUGCCGGUGAUAAACCGGAGGAAGGUGUGGAUGACGUCAAGUCAUCAUGCCCCUUACAUCCUGGGCUACACACGUGCUACAAUGGCAUUUACAGAGGGAAGCGAGACAGUGAUGUGGAGCGGGACCCCAUAAACCGUGGCUCAGUUCAGAUCGUAGGCUGCAACUCGCCUACGUGAAGGCGGAAUCGCUAGUAAUCGCAGGUC
This 433-nucleotide ribosomal RNA is filed under the name uncultured bacterium. Its description in RNAcentral is "bacterial SSU rRNA". It matches the Rfam family "Bacterial small subunit ribosomal RNA", at positions 917 to 1350 of the family's 1533-position model. The record is from RNAcentral.